This 460-nucleotide ribosomal RNA is filed under the name uncultured bacterium. RNAcentral describes it as "partial 16S ribosomal RNA". It matches the Rfam family "Bacterial small subunit ribosomal RNA", at positions 338 to 795 of the family's 1533-position model. The record is from RNAcentral.
CCUACGGGAUGCAGCAGUGAGGAAUAUUGGUCAAUGGACGCAAGUCUGAACCAGCCAUGCCGCGUGCAGGAUGAAGGCUCCAAGCGUUGUAAACUGCUUUUGUACGAGGAUAAACCCAGGUACGUGAACCGGGUUGAAGGUAUCGUAAGAAUAAGGAUCGGCUAACUCCGUGCCAGCAGCCGCGGUAAUACGGAGGAUCCGAGCGUUAUCCGGAUUUAUUGGGUUUAAAGGGUGCGUAGGCGGGUUGAUAAGUUAGAGGUGAAAGGUCGGGGCUCAACCCCGAAACUGCCUCUAAUACUGGUGGACUAGAGAAUAGUUGCGGUAGGCGGAAUGUAUGGUGUAGCGGUGAAAUGCUUAGAGAUCAUACAGAACACCGAUUGCGAAGGCAGCUUACCAAACGAGAUCUGACGUUGAGGCACGAAAGCGUGGGUAGCAAACAGGAUUAGAUACCCCAGUAGUC